CUACGUGCCAGCAGCCGCGGUAAUACGGAAGGUCCAGGCGUUAUCCGGAUUUAUUGGGUUUAAAGGGAGCGUAGGCCGUGGAUUAAGCGUGUUGUGAAAUGUAGACGCUCAACGUCUGAAUUGCAGCGCGAACUGGUUCACUAGAGUAUGCACAACGUAGGCGGAAUUCGUCGUGUAGCGGUGAAAUGCUUAGAUAUGACGAAGAACUCCGAUUGCGAAGGCAGCUUACGGGAGCACAACUGACGCUGAAGCUCGAAGGUGCGGGUAUCAAACAGGAUUAGAUACCCUGGUAGUCCGCMCAGUAAACGAUGGAUGCCCGUUGUUAGUUCACCUAAGAAUUAGCGACCAAGCGAAAGCAUCAAGCAUCCCACCUGGGGAGUACGCCGGCAACGGUGAAACUCAAAGGAAUUGACGGGGGCCCGCACAAGCGGAGGAACAUGUGGUUUAAUUCGAUGAUACGCGAGGAACCUUACCCGGGCUUGAAUUGCAGACGAACGAUUCAGAGA
This 506-nucleotide ribosomal RNA is filed under the name uncultured bacterium. RNAcentral's name for it is "bacterial SSU rRNA". It matches the Rfam family "Bacterial small subunit ribosomal RNA", at positions 501 to 1006 of the family's 1533-position model. The record is from RNAcentral.